GUGAGGAAUUUUCCGCAAUGGGCGAAAGCCUGACGGAGCAAUGCCGCGUGAAGGAUGAAGGCCUAUGGGUUGUAAACUUCUUUUCUCAGAAAAGAAUUAUGACGGUAUCUGAGGAAUAAGCAUCGGCUAACUCUGUGCCAGCAGCCGCGGUAAGACAGAGGAUGCAAGCGUUAUCCGGAAUGAUUGGGCGUAAAGCGUCUGUAGGUUGUUUAAAAAGUAUUCUGUCAAAGAUUAGGGCUUAACCCUAGAUAGGCAGAAUAAACUUUUAAGCUAGAGUUUGGUAGAGGCAGAGGGAAUUCCCGGUGGAGCGGGGAAAUGCGUAGAUAUCGGGAGGAACACCAAAGGCGAAGGCACUCUGCUGGGCCAAUACUAACACUGAGAGACGAAAGCGAGGGGAGCAAAUGGGAUUAGAAACCCCGGGUAGUCC
RNAcentral lists this ribosomal RNA (427 nucleotides) under uncultured bacterium. RNAcentral describes it as "partial 16S ribosomal RNA". It matches the Rfam family "Bacterial small subunit ribosomal RNA", at positions 354 to 796 of the family's 1533-position model. The record is from RNAcentral.